UGCUGGAUAGCUCAGUUGGUUAGAGCAUGGUGCUGAUAAUGGCGAGGUUACGGGUUCGAUCCCCACAAGGGACCUCUGCAA
Molecule: non-coding RNA, 81 nt
Organism: Podarcis lilfordi (Lilford's wall lizard)
Lineage: Eukaryota; Metazoa; Chordata; Lepidosauria; Squamata; Lacertidae
Source: the annotation of a GenBank genome assembly